RNAcentral lists this ribosomal RNA (1080 nucleotides) under Bacillus proteolyticus. RNAcentral's name for it is "bacterial SSU rRNA". It matches the Rfam family "Bacterial small subunit ribosomal RNA", at positions 37 to 1086 of the family's 1533-position model. Lineage: Bacteria; Bacillati; Bacillota; Bacilli; Caryophanales; Bacillaceae. The record is from RNAcentral.
UAACGGGGUGGCCUAAUACAUGCAGUCGAGCGAAUGGAUUAAGAGCUUGCUCUUAUGAAGUUAGCGGCGGACGGGUGAGUAACACGUGGGUAACCUGCCCAUAAGACUGGGAUAACUCCGGGAAACCGGGGCUAAUACCGGAUAACAUUUUGAACUGCAUGGUUCGAAAUUGAAAGGCGGCUUCGGCUGUCACUUAUGGAUGGACCCGCGUCGCAUUAGCUAGUUGGUGAGGUAACGGCUCACCAAGGCAACGAUGCGUAGCCGACCUGAGAGGGUGAUCGGCCACACUGGGACUGAGACACGGCCCAGACUCCUACGGGAGGCAGCAGUAGGGAAUCUUCCGCAAUGGACGAAAGUCUGACGGAGCAACGCCGCGUGAGUGAUGAAGGCUUUCGGGUCGUAAAACUCUGUUGUUAGGGAAGAACAAGUGCUAGUUGAAUAAGCUGGCACCUUGACGGUACCUAACCAGAAAGCCACGGCUAACUACGUGCCAGCAGCCGCGGUAAUACGUAGGUGGCAAGCGUUAUCCGGAAUUAUUGGGCGUAAAGCGCGCGCAGGUGGUUUCUUAAGUCUGAUGUGAAAGCCCACGGCUCAACCGUGGAGGGUCAUUGGAAACUGGGAGACUUGAGUGCAGAAGAGGAAAGUGGAAUUCCAUGUGUAGCGGUGAAAUGCGUAGAGAUAUGGAGGAACACCAGUGGCGAAGGCGACUUUCUGGUCUGUAACUGACACUGAGGCGCGAAAGCGUGGGGAGCAAACAGGAUUAGAUACCCUGGUAGUCCACGCCGUAAACGAUGAGUGCUAAGUGUUAGAGGGUUUCCGCCCUUUAGUGCUGAAGUUAACGCAUUAAAGCACUCCGCCUGGGGAGUACGGCCGCAAAGGCUGAAACUCAAAGGGAAUUGACGGGGGGCCCGCACAAGCGGGUGGGAGCAUGUGUUUAAUUUCGAAGCAACGCGAGACCCUUUACCAGGUCUUGACAUCCUCCUGAAACCCUAAAGAUAGGCUUCUCUUCGGGAGCAGAGUGACAGGUGCUGCAUGGCCUGUCGUCAGCUCAUGUCGUGAGAAUGGUUGGGGGUUAAAGUC